GGUGGAUUGGAAAUCAUGGAUUUUCUAUAGGGAUUGAUGAUGUCACACCUGGGGAAAACUUAGUUAAGCAAAAACAGGGGGAAAUUCAUCGAAAUUACAAGAAAUGUGAGGAUUGUAUUACACAAUUUAAUGAAGGAAAGCUAGCUGUGCAACCUGGCUGUGAUGCUGCGCAGACUCUGGAGGCUGAAGUAACUAUGUCGUUG
RNAcentral lists this unclassified non-coding RNA (203 nucleotides) under Hevea brasiliensis (rubber tree). Lineage: Eukaryota; Viridiplantae; Streptophyta; Magnoliopsida; Malpighiales; Euphorbiaceae. The record is from RNAcentral.